AUUGCCCUCUUCACACAGGUUGGCCAAAUGGGAAGACUGACCUUAUUUCCACUCUCCUCCUGAGGGUGAUGACGCAGCCCCACGAGCCAGGGAUGCUGUGAUCGAUGAGAGAUGGACUUCAGCCUCUGCGGUGACCCCCGGAAGAGGAAGCAACUGGACAUUUCCUCUGCACAUUGUCUUUUGCAAAGAUACAAUACUGUAUUGGUUUUCUUCUUGACCCAGGAUGUCUGGGAUUCAGCACCAAUUGCUGGAAGCCGGGAAGGCGUCCACCCGCAGGGCCCGCCGGCCGGCUCCCUGCACGUUGGGAGAACAGCCAGGUGGAGAAGCCCGCCUGUAUUUCUAGGCAGAGGCUCUGGACCCGACUCCAUGGCAACCUGGAAAGGGAGACAGGGAGCCCUGUGCGUCAUGGAGGGUCUGGGAUGCGCAGAGGGAAGAACACAGUCGGCUGCAGCCGCAUCUCCAGCUGAUGAACCACACUGGCCCUGCUCUACAAUCUGCUUGGAAAGACUCUCCAGGGGGCCUGAGAACCGAGUUUCCUUGGUGCAUCUGGCAAGCACCUCCCGCCAAGACUCUGAGUCAUUUGCGCUGAAAAGGGUCGGGAGUCCGUUCACAACACCUGGCCUUUCUGAUGUGACUGUGAGUGAGUCACCGUGUGGGAGACAAGUUCCAGAGUGAUAGUUCUCCGACCCCCAUCCCCCAGGGUCCCUGAGGGAGGUCGUGUUAGAGCCCAGGCUGCCAGACCCUCCCUGCAGCUUCUCAUGUGUGGCUCGUGGCUGGAGCUCCAGAAUCCGCUCCUCUAACAAGUUCCCUGGCAAGGCCUUGCUGCUGCUCCCGGGACUCCACUUUGAGAACUAGUCUUUUCCUGUCCUGGGGAAAACAAAAACCCAGCUUGGUCAUGUCAGUGGUCCAAGGAGAGGAAACCAAGCCUUGCUCAUCUUUUCUUCCCCAGCACAGCAGGCUCACGCUUGGCUAAUUAAAUGCACCUGGAGAUCUUUUAGAAUGUUCCCAUGAUGUUCUUUUUCUUUUUACUGAGAUGCGUUUGAUGUACAAUAUUACAGAGUUUCCGACUGUACGACAUAGUGAUUCACCAUGCUUACGAAUAUACUCCACUCACAGUUAUAAAGCUUGACUGUACUCCCUGCUGUACAGCAUGUCCUUCUAGCUUCUUUAUUUUGUGCGUAGGCAUGUCUGUCUCUUGGUCUGCGCCCCCUAGCUCGCCCCUCUCCUUUACCUCUCCCCGCCUGUGACCACUUGUUUGUUCUCUAUAUCCACGACAUCAUGGCCAUCCAAGUCUGAGAUGGGAAAGAAUUUCCAGACACAGAGCAUUUCAGAGGGGAGUGAGUUUAUUAAGAGCAAGGAGCAGAGAUAAUAAAGGCGCUGCAAGCACAGUGGGCCGACCUCCGGACAAGGAGAGUCAGUGCUUUUUGUGGGUUAGCAGCCAGUUUUUAUAGCCUCAAGACACAGAAAAGUCCUGCUGGAAGGCUCGCAUUAGGUGAUUGGUUAGGGCACUAUAGGGUGAUUACUGGAAUGAGCUUUUUCGCCUAAUUUAGGGUCAAGAAAUCUGCUGGUGACGAUCAAGGGGGCGUUGGCAAUGGUUACAAAGGGGCUCAGUCAGCUUCGGUGGCCUUGGUUCUGGGCUCCACGUCUGUGGCUUGGGGCAGGGCUCCACAUGCGAGUUUGUCUCUUUUUUGUUAUAUUC
This 1699-nucleotide long non-coding RNA is filed under the name Capra hircus (goat). Its description in RNAcentral is "lncRNA (ENSCHIG00000004133.1)". The record is from RNAcentral. Lineage: Eukaryota; Metazoa; Chordata; Mammalia; Artiodactyla; Bovidae.